RNAcentral lists this ribosomal RNA (753 nucleotides) under uncultured Tulasnellaceae. Its description in RNAcentral is "eukaryotic LSU rRNA". The stretch from base 627 to 753 matches the Rfam family "Eukaryotic large subunit ribosomal RNA", at positions 1 to 128 of the family's 3401-position model. Lineage: Eukaryota; Fungi; Basidiomycota; Agaricomycetes; Cantharellales; Tulasnellaceae. The record is from RNAcentral.
AACUCGGCCAUUUAGAGGAAGUACAAGUCGUAACAAGGUUUCCGUAGGUGAACCUGCGGAAGGAUCAUAGUAAUCGUCUUUGACGUUCGCUUUUCCCUCGUCCUCGGGGCAUUAAGCUGCUCUGGUCGAGGAUGAAUGACCCCUCUGACCGAGGUCAAACCUGUCGCUCUGUGUUACCUCUAAAAAAUUUUUUCCGAGGCACACCUUAAAGAUCGUUCCGCAUUGUGAGUCUAACACCAGUUGUAUAAACUUUUUACAACCGGUAGCGCUGGAUCCCUUGGCACGUCAUUCGAUGAAGACCGUUGCAAAUUGCGAUAAAGUGAUGUGAUGCGCAAGUCCACCACUUAUACGUGAAUCAUCGAGUUGUUGAACGCAUUGCACCGCGCCCUAAUCCGGCUGCGGUAUGCCCCUUUGAGCGUCAUUGUAUUCCUUCGGGAGUCCUUUUACAAGGACCCGAGUUCGGAGUCCUCGGUCCCCUGUGGAUCGUGUUCUCUCAGAUCCCUCGCACCGAUCGCCUGAUGGGUCCUCUAAUGCCUAAGCGUGGAGGUCCUUCAGAGUCCGAGAGGUGCUUGACCGAGUCUUGAGCUCGUGUCACCAAGUCUGCCUAACAGCAGUACUACAACCCAUGACCUCAUUGGGGUAGGACAACCCGCUAGACUUAAGCAUAUUAAUCAGCGGAGGAAAAGAAACUAACCAGGAUUCCCUCAGUAACUGCGAGUGAAGCGGGAUCGGCUCAAUGUGUGAAUCUGGCGG